AAGAGAGAGACAUGCGCGCAUAUCAAUAAGCGGAGGAAAAGAAACUAACAAGGAUUCCCUUAGUAACGGCGAGUGAAGCGGGAAGAGCUCAAAUUUGAAAUCUUCAAGGUUUUACCUUGACGAAUUGUAGUUUAAAGAAGUGGUUUUCCGCUGAAGUUUUGGUAAAAGUUCUUUGGAAUAGGACAUCAUAGAGGGUGAGAAUCCCGUAUUUGACCAUUAUUUUCAGCUUUGUGAUACACUUUCAAAGAGUCGGAUCGUUUGGGAAUGCAGUCCAAAAUGGGUGGUAAAUUUCAUCUAAAGCUAAAUAUUGGCGAGAGACCGAUAGCGAACAAGGUACCGUGAGGGAAAGAUGAAAAGAACUUUGAAAAGAGAGUUAAACAGUAGCGUGAAAUUGUCAAAAGGGAAGCGUUUGACACCAGUGUUGUUUUCUCGAAAAUCAAUUAAAAAUGGCUCGAUUUUGUAUUGCUUGAGACCUUAAAAGCUCACUGUACAUUUUUCGUGUCUUUUUAAUGCACUUUUCGUUUAACAAGUCAACAUCAGUUUCUUUUGUUGUAAAAGGGUCAUUGGAAGGUGGCUUUCUUUUCGGAGAAAGUGUUUAUAGCCUUUGGCCUCUGCAAUCGGAGAGACUGAGGUCUGCAGCGUAGACUCUUCGGGGUUAGAUACAUUUGUGCUAAGUUAUAGCUUUUUAUAGACAACUUGUUGACUAUAAUUAGUCUUGUAGCUUACUCGCUUAUGCUAUUUUACCUACGCUUAGGAUGUUGAAGAUGUAGCACAUCAU
RNAcentral lists this ribosomal RNA (778 nucleotides) under uncultured Neocallimastigales. RNAcentral describes it as "partial large subunit ribosomal RNA". It matches the Rfam family "Eukaryotic large subunit ribosomal RNA", at positions 23 to 620 of the family's 3401-position model. The record is from RNAcentral. Lineage: Eukaryota; Fungi; Neocallimastigomycota; Neocallimastigomycetes; Neocallimastigales.